This 468-nucleotide ribosomal RNA is filed under the name uncultured bacterium. Its description in RNAcentral is "partial 16S ribosomal RNA". It matches the Rfam family "Bacterial small subunit ribosomal RNA", at positions 28 to 507 of the family's 1533-position model. The record is from RNAcentral.
GACGAGCGCUGGCGGCGUGCUUAACACAUGCAAGUCGAACGGAAAGGCCCUGCUUUUGUGGGGUGCUCGAGUGGCGAACGGGUGAGUAACACGUGAGUAACCUGCCCUUGACUUUGGGAUAACUUCAGGAAACUGGGGCUAAUACCGGAUAGGAGCUCCUGCUGCAUGGGGGGGGUUGGAAAGUUUCGGCGGUUGGGGAUGGACUCGCGGCUUAUCAGCUUGUUGGUGGGGUAGUGGCUUACCAAGGCUUUGACGGGUAGCCGGCCUGAGAGGGUGACCGGCCACAUUGGGACUGAGAGACGGCCCAGAAGCCUACGGGAGGCAGCAGUCGGGAAUAUUGCACAAUGGGCGGAAGCCUGAUGCAGCAACGCCGCGUGCGGGAUGACGGCCUUCGGGUUGUAAACCGCUUUCGCCUGUGACGAAGCGUGAGUGACGGUAAUGAGUAAGGAAGCACCGGCUAACUACGUG